GUGCUUGCUUUGGCAGCACAUAUACUAAAACUGGAAUGAUACAGAGAAGAUUAUCUUGGCCCCUGCAUAAAGAUCACAUGGAAAUUCAGGAAGUGUUCCAUGUUUUG
Molecule: small nuclear RNA, 107 nt
Organism: Sciurus carolinensis (gray squirrel)
Lineage: Eukaryota; Metazoa; Chordata; Mammalia; Rodentia; Sciuridae
Source: RefSeq, a predicted model, not a curated record